This 458-nucleotide ribosomal RNA is filed under the name uncultured Chloroflexota bacterium. RNAcentral describes it as "bacterial SSU rRNA". It matches the Rfam family "Bacterial small subunit ribosomal RNA", at positions 910 to 1382 of the family's 1533-position model. Lineage: Bacteria; Bacillati; Chloroflexota. The record is from RNAcentral.
UUGACGGGGCCCGCACAAGCAGCGGAGCGUGUGGUUUAAUUCGAUGCAACGCGAAGAACCUUACCAAGGCUUGACAUGCCAGAAGUAGGAACUCGAAAGAGAGACCACCUGUAUCCAGUCAGGAACUGGCACGGGUGCUGCAUGGCUGUCGUCAGCUCGUGCCGUGAGGUGUUAGGUUAAGUCCUGCAACGAGCGCAACCCUCGUCGCUAGUUAAUUUCACUAGCGAUACUGCCGUAAAACGAGGAGGAAGUGGGAUGACGUCAAGUCAGCAUGGCCCUUACGCCUUGGGCUACACACACGCUACAAUGGGUGAUACAACGGGGUGCGAAAGAGCAAUCUGGAGCUAAUCCCUAAAAAUCAUCCUCAGUUCGGAUUGCAGGCUGAAACGGCCUGCAUGAAGUUGGAGUUGCUAGUAACCGCAGGUCAGCACACUGCGGUGAAUACGUUCUCGGGCCUU